RNAcentral lists this ribosomal RNA (271 nucleotides) under uncultured actinomycete. RNAcentral describes it as "partial 16S ribosomal RNA". It matches the Rfam family "Bacterial small subunit ribosomal RNA", at positions 644 to 912 of the family's 1533-position model. The record is from RNAcentral. Lineage: Bacteria; Bacillati; Actinomycetota; Actinomycetes; Actinomycetales.
GAGUUCGGUAGGGGAGAUCGGAAUUCCUGGUGUAGCGGUGAAAUGCGCAGAUAUCAGGAGGAACACCGGUGGCGAAGGCGGAUCUCUGGGCCGAUACUGACGCUGAGGAGCGAAAGCGUGGGGAGCGAACAGGAUUAGAUACCCUGGUAGUCCACGCCGUAAACGGUGGGCACUAGGUGUGGGCAACAUUCCACGUUGUCCGUGCCGCAGCUAACGCAUUAAGUGCCCCGCCUGGGGAGUACGGCCGCAAGGCUAAAACUCAAAGGAAUUG